CCUACGGGAGGCAGCAGUGAGGAAUAUUGGUCAAUGGGCGCAAGCCUGAACCAGCCAUGCCGCGUGAAGGAUGAAGGUUCUAUGGAUUGUAAACUUCUUUUAUUUGGGAAUAAACCUCUUUACGUGUAGAGAGCUGAAGGUACCAAACGAAUAAGCACCGGCUAACUCCGUGCCAGCAGCCGCGGUAAUACGGAGGGUGCAAGCGUUAUCCGGAAUCAUUGGGUUUAAAGGGUCCGCAGGCGGAUUUAUAAGUCAGUGGUGAAAGCCUACAGCUCAACUGUAGAACUGCCAUUGAUACUGUAAGUCUUGAAUUCGGUCGAAGUGGGCGGAAUAUGACAUGUAGCGGUGAAAUGCUUAGAUAUGUCAUAGAACACCGAUAGCGAAGGCAGCUCACUAGGCCUGGAUUGACGCUCAGGGACGAAAGCGUGGGGAGCAAACAGGAUUAGAUACCCUGGUAGUCCACGCCGUAAACUAUCAAUACUCGAUAUUAGCGAUAUACCUGUUAGUGUNUAGAGAAGUAGAGUAAGUAUUAGUCACCGUCGGGAGGUACGAGUACGACGAGGUUAGUAAACGUACGAAAGGAAAGUUAGUACGGACGUAGAGACGUUACGACGACGGACGACGACGGAGGGGAGGUAGG
This 640-nucleotide ribosomal RNA is filed under the name uncultured bacterium. Its description in RNAcentral is "bacterial SSU rRNA". The stretch from base 1 to 538 matches the Rfam family "Bacterial small subunit ribosomal RNA", at positions 338 to 873 of the family's 1533-position model. The record is from RNAcentral.